This 896-nucleotide ribosomal RNA is filed under the name Salmonella enterica. Its description in RNAcentral is "partial 23S ribosomal RNA". It matches the Rfam family "Bacterial large subunit ribosomal RNA", at positions 291 to 1190 of the family's 2925-position model. The record is from RNAcentral. Lineage: Bacteria; Pseudomonadati; Pseudomonadota; Gammaproteobacteria; Enterobacterales; Enterobacteriaceae.
AACGGGGAGGAGCCCAGAGCCUGAAUCAGCAUGUGUGUUAGUGGAAGCGUCUGGAAAGUCGCGCGAUACAGGGUGACAGCCCCGUACACAAAAGCGCAUGUGCUGUGAGCUCGAUGAGUAGGGCGGGACACGUGGUAUCCUGUCUGAAUAUGGGGGGACCAUCCUCCAAGGCUAAAUACUCCUGACUGACCGAUAGUGAACCAGUACCGUGAGGGAAAGGCGAAAAGAACCCCGGCGAGGGGAGUGAAAAAGAACCUGAAACCGUGUACGUACAAGCAGUGGGAGCACAGGUUUACCUGUGUGACUGCGUACCUUUUGUAUAAUGGGUCAGCGACUUAUAUUCUGUAGCAAGGUUAACCGUAUAGGGGAGCCGGAGGGAAACCGAGUCUUAACCGGGCGUUAAGUUGCAGGGUAUAGACCCGAAACCCGGUGAUCUAGCCAUGGGCAGGUUGAAGGUUGGGUAACACUAACUGGAGGACCGAACCGACUAAUGUUGAAAAAUUAGCGGAUGACCUGUGGCUGGGGGUGAAAGGCCAAUCAAACCGGGAGAUAGCUGGUUCUCCCCGAAAGCUAUUUAGGUAGCGCCUCGUGAAUUCAUCUCCGGGGGUAGAGCACUGUUUCGGCUAGGGGGCCAUCCCGGCUUACCAACCCGAUGCAAACUGCGAAUACCGGAGAAUGUUAUCACGGGAGACACACGGCGGGUGCUAACGUCCGUCGUGAAGAGGGAAACAACCCAGACCGCCAGCUAAGGUCCCAAAGUCAUGGUUAAGUGGGAAACGAUGUGGGAAGGCCCAGACAGCCAGGAUGUUGGCUUAGAAGCAGCCAUCAUUUAAAGAAAGCGUAAUAGCUCACUGGUCGAGUCGGCCUGCGCGGAAGAUGUAACGGGGCUAAACCAU